ACCAAGAUUCAAUAGAUUACCAUCAAAUCCGCGAUUAUUUGUUGUUAAAUUCUGUAAUUUUGUGAUUGUUUACUGUUGCGCGCAGAUUUCAUCAUGACUAAAAGAGGUAGACCUACGAAAUCGCAACAAACACAAGAAGGGGAUUUAUCAUGACGAAAAGAGGACGUCCUCCAACUUCACAACCAUCCCAGUCUGAAGCUAAGAUUGGACAUCGACGAGGCGGUCGAUGAUAUACUGCCAGUAGGAAUUGCCCAAAAAUUUCAGGAGCGAUUAUCAGAGGCCGGGACUAGUACAACUUCGGAAGAGACGGAGGAUAGGA
Long non-coding RNA from Salvia splendens (bonfire salvia), 319 nucleotides. RefSeq lists it as uncharacterized. Lineage: Eukaryota; Viridiplantae; Streptophyta; Magnoliopsida; Lamiales; Lamiaceae. The record is from RefSeq and is a predicted model, not a curated record. The transcript is spliced from 3 exons.